UUUUAUACAAGAUUAGCC
This 18-nucleotide microRNA is filed under the name Ciona intestinalis (vase tunicate). Its description in RNAcentral is "cin-miR-4179a-3p". The record is from miRBase by way of RNAcentral. Lineage: Eukaryota; Metazoa; Chordata; Ascidiacea; Phlebobranchia; Cionidae.